AUUUCUUUGGGCCGCUCCCGCAGCACAUGGAGGUUCCCAGGCUAGGGGUCGAAUCAGAGCUGUAGCCACUGGCCUACGCCAGAGCCACAGCAACUCGGGAUCCGAGCCGCGUCUGCAACCUACACCACAGCUCACGGAAACGCCGGAUCGUUAACCCACUGAGCAAGGGCAGGGACCGAACCCGCAACCUCAUGGUUCCUAGUCGGAUUCGUUAACCACUGCGCCACUACGGGAACUCCUACAAUAGAUUUCUAAGAAGAUUUGUUACAUUCUGAAAAUUUUUAUGCAAUGUUAUAUUGUAUUCUAAGAAUCCAAUACAUCUCUGAUAUAUAGUUGAAGGUGUGUGGCUCAGAAAGAAGGAAAUUGUUUCAGCUACAAAGAAAUGUGUAUUAAGUGCAUCAGGCUUCAUAAUUAAUGAUGAGGUCUUUGAUAAAAGAUUAAAAUGGUAUUAAUUUCCAAGAUAUUUUCUGGGCUUAAAAAUAUUUGAAUGUAUAGAUGAUUUAAAAUUACUUAAAAAUUACCUAAAAAUGACAAUUUCUCAGUUAAAUUAUAUGAAGUGGCUAAAAUAAGAACUAGGAGAAGAGGAAGAAUACAAGUUAAAAGAUGGUAUCUUGGGUUUGAAGGAACAGAUAUGCUGUCAUGAAUCGGGAUUGUAGUUGUUUAAAAACAUAAAUAUGUAACAUAUAGUAUAAGUGAUAAUAUAAAGUCAAUAUACAUUAAAACUAUGUAUUUCAUCAUAAGACAAGAAAUCUUAUUUUAUUUUAUUAUUUUUAAGAUAAUGUUUUUAUUUAUUAUUAUUAUUACUACUUUUUGUCUUUUUAGGGCCACACCCAUGGCAUAUGGAGGUUCCCAGGCUAGGGGUCCAAUUGGAGCUGUAGCCAUUGGCUUACGCCACAGACACAGCAACCCCAGAUCUGAGCUGUGUCUGUGACCUAAACCAUAGCUCAUAGCAAUGCUGGAUCCUUAACUCACUGAGCAAGGAAGGGUUCAAAUGCAUCUUCAUGGAUGCUAGUCGGGUUUGUUAACUGCUGAGCCAUGACAGGAACUGCAAGAAACAUUUUUAUUUAUUCAUUUUUCUUUUUUUUUUUUGCCACCCAGCAGCAUAUGGAGUUUCUAGGCCAGAGAUGAGAUCCAAGCUGCAGUAGCAAAAUACACCAGAGACAUGGAAUCCACUGUGCCAGGCCAAGAAUCGAAACUGCAUCCUUGGUACUGCAAAGACCCCACUGAUCCUAUUGCACUACAGUGGGAAUUCCAGCCAAGAAAUCUUUACACAUGAGACUAACUUAACUCAGAGUUGGUUAAUAAAACAAAAUUUAAUAAUUUGAAAUAUAUGUGCUCAAGUAUUUAAUCUAUUAUUUUUAAGAGUUUUUAAAGACAUGGCAUUGAGACCACAGAUCUCAAAUCUUCUGAAAAGAACCUCUCUUAGCCAUGGGGACCCGCUACAUCAAUAAUCUUCAACUAGUUGGAAAUAUUUUUAAUAAGCCUUUACAAUUUAUUAAGAGCUAAAAGUUCUUUUGGAAUCCAAAAACAUAAUUAAGGUACCAAUAAAUAUAAAACAAUCUGCUAUUAGAGAGGGUUAUACUUCCUACUCUUUUGGAUCCUAAGAGCAUAUACUUAAAUUAACACUAUGAAUCCUGAUGGAUAAGUAUAAUGUUAAAAUAAUUUUUUUAUUCACCUUUGAGUAGGUUGAGUGACACUGAAUUUUUCAUGACUUGAUGGUUUUAUGUAAUAGAAAAGCAUAAUUUCUCUUCAGGAAUCAGAGAUUUAUAUGGAAUUAGGAAAUGUCUACUCCAAUAUAAUGCACACACUAAAGUACUACCACUCAUACUGAGGUAUACGGAAUGAUUGGCCCACAUUAUAUCACAGGGAAUCCUACCUAGUAUUCUGUGAAAAUCUGUGUGGGAAAAGAUUCUGAGAGAAAAUGGAUAUGUAUGACUAGGUCACUUUUCUGUACAGAAGAAAUUAUAUGCAACUUUAUAAAUGAACUACAUUUAAGUUUUAAAACUUAAAAAAAUAAAAUAUUGCCUUUCAAACUCCAAUAUGCAUUCAAAUCACCUGGAAAUUUGCUAAAAUGCAGAUUCUGGCUCUGUAGGUAUGAGGAGUCCACAGUUCUAACAAGUUCCUAGGUAAUGAAGAUGCUUCUGGUUCAUGGGUAGACUGCAUUUUUAGUAGCCAAGCCUUAAAUAGAAUUAGUUAGGUUUUAAUAAUCUACCUCGAGGGGAAAAGAAGAGGAUGAAUGAAGGGGAGAGAAAAGGGAAAGUUAUUUUCCUCUGGUAAAAGAUCAACUAUAUGAUAACUCUAACUAAUGCAUAAUAAUAAUUAGUAUAUUUAUGUUUAUUUUAUACCAUAUGCAUCAAAGCUGCAACUCCAAAAUGGAUGUGGGUCCAAAUGCUUUCAACGUUUUUCCUCUAAACUUUUCAAUACAGAUGCAGCAAGCAUCUGUCUUUUCUGUACUACGUUUCAAAUCUAAGCUAUCCCCUACAGGCAUCAAAGCUGAACAUGAUGGUCAUGCUGUUCCAUGCAGCCCUGAAAGACAAACAAAAGAACAAACACACCCCAACGACUUAAAACCUGGAGCCAAGGGAGCUCUCCAGGUUGCCAAAUGCCUCUCUGAUCCUCCCAGUAAAUAUAAAAGCUGCUUUCUUCAAGAACUGAAAACAAUCAUAACUGUCUUGUUGAACCUCUGGGGACAGAGGAAAGAUAGAAUAUAGAAACCUGCACCAAAGUGUCCACAGACGGAUUUGAUUUACACAGUAUGGUCUGCUACAACCUGUAAAGAUUAGAUAAUGGGUUUCCUUAGAUAAAGUUCUGUUUCUAGCAGAAGGCCUUCUAACAUCUUUAAAUGGUUUGUCUAUAAAAUUCUCUUUUCCUAAAGCACAACUGAUCAAAAAAUGCUCUCUUGUUGAAUUGCAUCACAGUUUUUGUACAACUUUAUAUAUGAAUACACAUAAUCAUCACCAUAUGUAUAUGCCUAUAGAUUACAAUAAAAUUCAUAAAUCACAUCCGUUUUCAUUUUAUUGGUAUAGGCUAAGGGAAAAUGGAACUAUAUCCAGAAUACAGUGAUUUCAAAGCCCAUGUUCUUAAGUUGAGCUAGUCAAUUUCAAGAGUAAAAUCUAAAUUGUAAAAAUUUCAUAAGAAAUCUUGGCAUUAAGAUUAUAUGCAGUUUAUAUGCUAUGAUUUACUAAUGAGGUCUAAUUUUAGCUGAAGUGGAAAAAAACUGUGCCUUAUACUUAGCAUACCAUUUAUAUGCAUCUAUGUGAGAUUUCUGAUUUUACUGAUAAUAAUUAUGUUGAUAAUUUAUUGGAUUUAGUCAAUCUGUUGUGAGGGCAAAGCUACACUAGUAUUAUUAUAAAAGACAUUAUUUUAUGUCAUAAAUAUUCUGCCUUCCCAUUCUUAUCUUCUAAGUUUUUUUAUAGAUCUCUUUGAAACUAAAAAAUGUGAAACAAAUGUUGCUUUUUAAAAUAAAGUUCUGGAAAUUUAUUUUUGACAAUGCUGUUGCUUAUGAAAUCCCAAGAAAUUUCAUUAAAAUUCCUCAUGUGAUCCUGUAUGGUAACACUAAUUCUAUUUUUAUAACAUAAAAUAAUUCUCUACUAAUUUCAGCAAAUUAUUUACCUAUAAUGAAACUUAUUUUCUUUAAUGAAAUACUUGUAAUCACAUUUUAAAAGUGGAAAAAGUAAUAAUUUGUCCUGGAAUUCUUUGACUUUUUUGGCAAACAAGUAUCUGGGAAAUUGGCUUUACCUUUUCACUUUAACAGUAUCUUUCACUGUAUGGGAAUAAUUCUGUCUAAAAUAUACCAAAAAAUAAUAAAUCUUAUUUAAAAACAUUUACUUAUAGUAAAGUUUUGGAUUUAAUCACUCAUUAUUUUUCUAAUUUAAUUUUAUUGGAGUAUAGUUGAUUUACAAUGUUGUUUUAUUUCAGGUGUACAGCAAGUAAAUCAGUCAUACAAAUACAUAUAUUCAUUCUUUCUUCCCAUUAGAUUGUUAUAAACUGUUGAGUAGAUUUUCCUGUGCUAUAUGGGAAGUUAUUAUUAAUCAUCUAUUUUAUACAGUAGUGUAUUUAUAUUAUUCAGACCUUCCCAAUUCUUCCCUCCCCUGAAUGGUUUCACCUAUGUUAACCGUAAGAUUGAUCACUCAUUAUUAAUUGUGCAUUCUUUAUGUUUCUUUCUUUUUUUUCAUUUUUUAAGGCCGCACCUGUGGCAUAUGGAAGUUCUCAGGCUAAGGGUCGAAUCGGAGCUGCAGCUGCUGGCCUUUGCCACAGCCACAACAGUGCCAUAUCUGAAUUGCAUCUUCAACUUAAGCAACGCAGGAGAAUUCUUAACCCACUGAGUGAGGCCAGGUACCAAACCUGCAUCUUCAUAGACACUGGUCGAGUUUGUAACCUCCUGAGCCACAAAAGGAACUCCU
This 4403-nucleotide long non-coding RNA is filed under the name Sus scrofa (pig). RNAcentral's name for it is "lncRNA (ENSSSCG00040068756.1)". Lineage: Eukaryota; Metazoa; Chordata; Mammalia; Artiodactyla; Suidae. The record is from RNAcentral.